RNAcentral lists this ribosomal RNA (266 nucleotides) under uncultured bacterium. Its description in RNAcentral is "partial 16S ribosomal RNA". It matches the Rfam family "Bacterial small subunit ribosomal RNA", at positions 91 to 354 of the family's 1533-position model. The record is from RNAcentral.
CGGACCGGCGCACGGGUGAGUAACGCGUAUGCAACUUGCCUAUCAGGAGGGGGAUAACCCGGCGAAAGUCGGACUAAUACCGCAUGAAGCAGGGGCCCCGCAUGGGGAUAUUUGCUAAAGAUUCAUCGCUGAUAGAUAGGCAUGCGUUCCAUUAGGCAGUUGGCGGGGUAACGGCCCACCAAACCGACGAUGGAUAGGGGUUCUGAGAGGAAGGUCCCCCCACAUUGGUACUGAGACACGGACCAAACUCCUACGGGAGGCAGCAG